RNAcentral lists this ribosomal RNA (479 nucleotides) under uncultured bacterium. RNAcentral describes it as "bacterial SSU rRNA". It matches the Rfam family "Bacterial small subunit ribosomal RNA", at positions 328 to 799 of the family's 1533-position model. The record is from RNAcentral.
CCUGGAGACUCCUACGGGAGGCAGCAGUGGGGAAUAUUGCGCAAUGGGGGCAACCCUGACGCGGCCAUGCCGCGUGUCUGAAGAAGGCCUUCGGGUUGUAAAGGACUUUUGUCAGGGAAGAAAAGGCUGUUGCUAAUAUCGACAGCUGAUGACGGUACCUGAAGAAUAAGCACCGGCUAACUACGUGCCAGCAGCCGCGGUAAUACGUAGGGUGCGAGCGUUAAUCGGAAUUACUGGGCGUAAAGCGAGCGCAGACGGUUACUUAAGCAGGAUGUGAAAUCCCCGGGCUCAACCUGGGAACUGCGUUCUGAACUGGGUGACUAGAGUGUGUCAGAGGGAGGUAGAAUUCCACGUGUAGCAGUGAAAUGCGUAGAGAUGUGGAGGAAUACCGAUGGCGAAGGCAGCCUCCUGGGAUAACACUGACGUUCAUGCUCGAAAGCGUGGGUAGCAAACAGGAUUAGAUACCCUUGUAGUCCUAG